AGUGAACGCUGGCGGUAGGCCUAACACAUGCAAGUCGAACGGCAGCACAGUAAGAGCUUGCUCUUACGGGUGGCGAGUGGCGGACGGGUGCGGAAUACAUCGGAAUCUACUUUUUCGUGGGGGAUAACGUAGGGAAACUUACGCUAAUACCGCAUACGACCUACGGGUGAAAGCAUGGGAUCUUCGGACCUUGCGCGAUUGAAUGAGCCGAUGUCGGAUUAGCUAGUUGGCGGGGUAAAGGCCCACCAAGGCGACGAUCCGUAGCUGGUCUGAGAGGAUGAUCAGCCACACUGGAACUGAGACACGGUCCAGACUCCUACGGGAGGCAGCAGUGGGGAAUAUUGGACAAUGGGCGCAAGCCUGAUCCAGCCAUACCGCGUGGGUGAAGAAGGCCUUCGGGUUGUAAAGCCCUUUUGUUGGGAAAGAAAAGCAGCAGGUUAAUACCCCGCUGUUCUGACGGUACCCAAAGAAUAAGCACCGGCUAACUUCGUG
This 492-nucleotide ribosomal RNA is filed under the name uncultured bacterium. Its description in RNAcentral is "partial 16S ribosomal RNA". It matches the Rfam family "Bacterial small subunit ribosomal RNA", at positions 29 to 507 of the family's 1533-position model. The record is from RNAcentral.